UACGAAGGGAGCUAGCGUUGUUCGGAAUUACUGGGCGUAAAGGGCGCGCAGGCGGCUGCUCAAGUCAGGCGUGAAAGGCCUGGGCUCAACCCGGGAAUUGCGCUUGAGACUGGGCUGGCUUGAGUGCGGGAGAGGAUGGUGGAAUUCCCAGUGUAGAGGUGAAAUUCGUAGAUAUUGGGAAGAACACCGGUGGCGAAGGCGGCCAUCUGGACCGCAACUGACGCUGAGGCGCGAAAGCGUGGGGAGCAAACAGG
Molecule: ribosomal RNA, 254 nt
Filed under: uncultured bacterium
Lineage: Bacteria
Description: partial 16S ribosomal RNA
Rfam family: Bacterial small subunit ribosomal RNA
Source: RNAcentral